RNAcentral lists this ribosomal RNA (443 nucleotides) under uncultured bacterium. RNAcentral's name for it is "partial 16S ribosomal RNA". It matches the Rfam family "Bacterial small subunit ribosomal RNA", at positions 338 to 795 of the family's 1533-position model. The record is from RNAcentral.
CCUACGGGUGGCAGCAGUGGGGAAUAUUGGGCAAUGGAGGCAACUCUGACCCAGCAAUGCCGCGUGAGUGAUGAAGGUAAUUUUAUUGUAAAGCUCUUUUCUUUGGAACGAAUAAAUGACGGUACCAAAGGAAUAAGCCCCGGGUAACUACGUGCAAGCAGCCGCGGUAAUGCGUAGGGGGCAAGCGUUGUACGGAAUGAAUGGGCGUAAGGGGUGUGUAGGUGGUUUGAUAAGUUAGGUGGGUAAUACCCCGGGCUUAACUAGGGUUCUGCAUCUGAAACUGUUAGACUUGAGUACUGGAGAGGAUAGUGGAAGUCCUAGUGUAGCGGUGGAAUGCGUAGAUAUUAGGAGGAACAUCAGUGGCGAAGGCGACUAUCUGGACAGCAACUGACACGGAGGCACGAAAGCGUGGGGAGCAAACAGGAUUAGAUACCCGAGUAGUC